Molecule: non-coding RNA, 125 nt
Organism: Orbilia javanica
Lineage: Eukaryota; Fungi; Ascomycota; Orbiliomycetes; Orbiliales; Orbiliaceae
Source: the annotation of a GenBank genome assembly
GGCGUAGUAGUUCAAUUGGUAGAACAUAGUCGUUGAAGGGCCGGAGACGAUCCUUGUGGCAAGACCGCGGGGAUCGUCUCUGGUUAAUAAUGACUGGGAUGUUGGUUCGAAACCGACCUUCGCCA